This 468-nucleotide ribosomal RNA is filed under the name uncultured bacterium. RNAcentral describes it as "partial 16S ribosomal RNA". It matches the Rfam family "Bacterial small subunit ribosomal RNA", at positions 28 to 507 of the family's 1533-position model. The record is from RNAcentral.
GACGAACGCUGGCGGCGUGCUUAACACAUGCAAGUCGAACGGAAAGGCCCUGCUUUUGUGGGGUGCUCGAGUGGCGAACGGGUGAGUAACACGUGAGUAACCUGCCCUUGACUUUGGGAUAACUUCAGGAAACUGGGGCUAAUACCGGAUAGGAGCUCCUGCUGCAUGGUGGGGGUUGGAAAGUUUCGGCGGUUGGGGAUGGACUCGCGGCUUAUCAGCUUGUUGGUGGGGUAGUGGCUUACCAAGGCUUUGACGGGUAGCCGGCCUGAGAGGGUGACCGGCCACCAUGGUCCUGCGGUACGGCGCAGUCUCCAACGGGAGGCAGCAGUGGGGAAUAUUACACAGUGGGCGGACGCCUGAUGCGGAGACGCCGCGUGCGUGAUGACGGCCUUCGGGUUGUAAACCGCUUUCGCCUGUGACGAGGCGUGAUUGACGGUAAUGGGUAAAGAAGCACCGGCUAACUACGUG